Molecule: non-coding RNA, 72 nt
Organism: Phthorimaea operculella (potato tuberworm)
Lineage: Eukaryota; Metazoa; Arthropoda; Insecta; Lepidoptera; Gelechiidae
Source: the annotation of a GenBank genome assembly
GGAUCGAUAGCUCAGUGGCAGAGCGGGGGGGCGUUUUCCCAUGCGGCCCGGGUUCGAUUCCCGGUCGAUGUA